This 200-nucleotide unclassified non-coding RNA is filed under the name soil metagenome. RNAcentral describes it as "partial contains internal transcribed spacer 2 and large subunit ribosomal RNA". The record is from RNAcentral.
AAACCGUCAGGUCUUGGUUUUGAGCGCAUGUCGGCUUAGGUCGACUCGCUAGAAAUGCAUUAGCUGGAUCUCUCCUUUCGGUUUCAACGUGAUAAGUUGGAUCGUUGUCAUUUGCCGAUUGUGUGGGUUCGCUUCUAAUCGUCUCCGGACAAUACCGACUUUUACACCUCAACUCGGGUAGGACUACCCGCUGAACUUAA